RNAcentral lists this ribosomal RNA (440 nucleotides) under Methylobacterium phyllosphaerae. Its description in RNAcentral is "bacterial SSU rRNA". It matches the Rfam family "Bacterial small subunit ribosomal RNA", at positions 40 to 527 of the family's 1533-position model. Lineage: Bacteria; Pseudomonadati; Pseudomonadota; Alphaproteobacteria; Hyphomicrobiales; Methylobacteriaceae. The record is from RNAcentral.
UGGSRGGCUUAMCAUGCAGUCGAGCGGACCUUUCGGGGUCAGCGGCGGACGGGUGAGUAACGCGUGGGAACGUGCCUUCCGGUUCGGAAUAACCCUGGGAAACUAGGGCUAAUACCGGAUACGCCCUUAUGGGGAAAGGUUUACUGCCGGAAGAUCGGCCCGCGUCUGAUUAGCUAGUUGGUGGGGUAACGGCCUACCAAGGCGACGAUCAGUAGCUGGUCUGAGAGGAUGAUCAGCCACACUGGGACUGAGACACGGCCCAGACUCCUACGGGAGGCAGCAGUGGGGAAUAUUGGACAAUGGGCGCAAGCCUGAUCCAGCCAUGCCGCGUGAGUGAUGAAGGCCUUAGGGUUGUAAAGCUCUUUUAUCCGGGACGAUAAUGACGGUACCGGAGGAAUAAGCCCCGGCUAACUUCGUGCCAGCCGCCGCSGGGUAAUACA